AUUGAACGCUGGCGGCAUGCCUUACACAUGCAAGUCGAACGGCAGCACGGGUGCUUGCACCUGGUGGCGAGUGGCGAACGGGUGAGUAAUAUAUCGGAACGUACCUUAUUGUGGGGGAUAACGCAGCGAAAGCUGUGCUAAUACCGCAUAAUCCCUAAGGGGGAAAGCGGGGGACCGUAGGGCCUCGCGCAAUUAGAGCGGCCGAUACCUGAUUAGCUAGUUGGUGAGGUAAAGGCUCACCAAGGCAACGAUCAGUAGCUGGUCUGAGAGGAGAAGCAGCCACACUGGGACUGAGACACGGCCCAGACUCCUACGGGAGGCAGCAGGGGGGAAGUUUGGACAAUGGGGGCAACCCUGAUCCAGCAAUGCCGCGUGAGUGAAGAAGGCCUUCGGGUUGUAAAGCUCUUUUGUCAGGGAAGAAACACCGGCUCUAACACAGUCCGGGAAUGACGGUACCUGAAGAAUAAGCACCGGCUAACUACGUGCCAGCCGCCGCAGUAA
Molecule: ribosomal RNA, 501 nt
Filed under: uncultured bacterium
Lineage: Bacteria
Description: partial 16S ribosomal RNA
Rfam family: Bacterial small subunit ribosomal RNA
Source: RNAcentral